Non-coding RNA from Dermacentor albipictus, 303 nucleotides. The record is from RefSeq and is a predicted model, not a curated record. Lineage: Eukaryota; Metazoa; Arthropoda; Arachnida; Ixodida; Ixodidae.
GCGAGUCAAAGACGCUCACACAGGCUGAGUCGCCCUCGAGGAAAAGAAAAGUGCCUUCACAGCUUUGUGGGCCGACGAGUGAUGGGGACGGUCUUCAAGAAGCACCUGCACAGACAACGGACAUUUGAUUUGUCUUACGUGACGGAGGGACGGGUUUCCUCGUUGGGCAGGCAUCUAAAUGCUUACGCAUUUGGGCUUGCACCGACACCACAGAAGAUGAUUAUCAAACUCGUUGCGUCGUCCUCAAUUUAAGCAGAACCCUUCUUGUGAGCCUCCAGGUUUCUGCCCCGUAGGUGAUUAAUG